Molecule: non-coding RNA, 29 nt
Filed under: Rattus norvegicus (Norway rat)
Lineage: Eukaryota; Metazoa; Chordata; Mammalia; Rodentia; Muridae
Source: RNAcentral
UAAAGACAACCCCUAUUGCAGGACCUUUA